This 68-nucleotide microRNA precursor is filed under the name Capitella teleta. RNAcentral describes it as "Cte-Let-7_pre stem-loop". Lineage: Eukaryota; Metazoa; Annelida; Polychaeta; Capitellidae. The record is from RNAcentral.
UGAGGUAGUAGGUUGUAUAGUAGAGUUACAUCACUAAACAGACGAACUGUACAGCCUUCUAGCUUUCC